Cinara cedri is the source of this 418-nucleotide non-coding RNA. Lineage: Eukaryota; Metazoa; Arthropoda; Insecta; Hemiptera; Aphididae. The record is from the annotation of a GenBank genome assembly.
CUUGGAUCCAAUAAAUAUAUUAUUUUUUCCCCAUUCAGGUAUUGAGACUCAAUUGGUAUAUAGCGUUAGAAAGUAUACGAGUAGAUAGACAAGUUUUGGUUUGAGCGAUUUAUUAAGCAUUAAAAAUCUCAUAUUUUCACAAAUAUGAUUUGCAGAUGUGAAUACAAAUACAUACUAGAAUCAAUGUUGCAAAGUAUUUUUAACAUAUGGUCUUGUUUUAAACAUUUUUAGUGUCAUCAGUGGCACAAUAUUAUAUCAAAUGUAUAUACAAUAUACAUAUUCAGCGGUGUACGCAGGGAGAAGUUAAAGGUUAUGUCCCUUCCCCCACCCAUAUUACCAAUUUCCACAGUCAAGUUGGGUAAAGAAGACGAUUUUACAAUUAGUAUUUUCUACAUCCCCUCCCAUUGAAAACUCUUGU